ACCAGUAGCUAACACCCUGCAGCCUAAGACCGGUCACUCACUGAAGCUAAGCAGGGCUGAGUCUGGUCAGUACCUGGAUGGGAGACCACAUGGGAAAACUAGGUUUCUGUUGGAA
Molecule: ribosomal RNA, 115 nt
Filed under: Danio rerio (zebrafish)
Lineage: Eukaryota; Metazoa; Chordata; Actinopteri; Cypriniformes; Danionidae
Source: RNAcentral